Molecule: ribosomal RNA, 484 nt
Filed under: uncultured bacterium
Lineage: Bacteria
Description: partial 16S ribosomal RNA
Rfam family: Bacterial small subunit ribosomal RNA
Source: RNAcentral
AUUGAACGCUGGCGGCAGGCCUAACACAUGCAAGUCGAGCGGAUGAAGGGAGCUUGCUCCUGGAUUCAGCAGCGGACGGGUGAGUAAUGCCUAGGAAUCUGCAUGGUAGUGGGGGAUAACGUCCGGAAACGGGCGCUAAUACCGCAUACGUCCUGCGGGAGAAAGUGGGGGAUCUUCGGACCUCACGCUAUCAGAUGAGCCUAGGCCGGAUUAGCUAGUUGGUGGGGUAAAGGCCUACCAAGGCGACGAUCCGUAACUGGUCUGAGAGGAUGAUCAGUCACACUGGAACUGAGACACGGUCCAGACUCCUACGGGAGGCAGCAGUGGGGAAUAUUGGACAAUGGGCGAAAGCCUGAUCCAGCCAUGCCGCGUGUGUGAAGAAGGUCUUCGGAUUGUAAAGCACUUUAAGUUGGGAGGAAGGGCAGUAAGUUAAUACCUUGCUGUUUUGACGUUACCAACAGAAUAAGCACCGGCUAACUUCGUG